This is a long non-coding RNA of Neocloeon triangulifer, 740 nucleotides long. RefSeq lists it as uncharacterized. NCBI's taxonomy places the organism in Eukaryota, Metazoa, Arthropoda, Insecta, Ephemeroptera, Baetidae. The transcript has 4 exons. The record is from RefSeq and is a predicted model, not a curated record.
UCAAGUAGUCACGCGUCACGCUGAACUUGAGUGUGGUGGGUGUGUACUUUGUUUGGAGUUGGUAAAUGGAGUAAAUAUAUAAUUGUUAUGUUGUGACUUUUUAGAAUUUAUUUUCAAGUGAUUUAACUAUAGUUAUUUCGAGAACGGAGACCUCACAAGUGAAGUUUGUAGAUUUAUUUUGUGAAAAGAAGACGUUUUGAUUGAGAAUUUAAAAUCACCAACACAGUAAAAAAGACCAUUGUUAUCCGACUGAGACUUCGGAGGUCGACCACUUGCGAUUUGAGCUGCUCCCUUGGAUACUCCUACUCGACGCCUUGCUCGACCAGAUGGAUUAACACCAGUGCGACCCUUCUUGGACAGCACAGAGUUGACAGCUCUGUAAAAAGCCACCAAAGCAGCUUGAGCAGCUGGAGUAGUUUUUGGCUUUCGGAGUGCCUUUCCCAUCUUUUCAACAAGUUCAGUUGGAAAGGAGCCACUUCCACUCCGCCGAGAGUACGUGAAACACACAUAGCAACCUACGUGCUGUUGGCCACACCGACUCAACCGCCUUUCGUUCCGCAGAACUGUCAUCUGUCAUUACGACACUAGGCGCCUAAAAAUGAAGUACAUUUUCAUUUAGAAAUGUAUGUUUUUUUUUAAUUUUAUUAUUGGAUUAUGAAGUAGUCUCUGAGUAAGAUUUUUUUAAAACUCUGUUUUAAUUUAAUAAAUAUUGGAAUUUAUUGUUGGUAGGGAAUAUAAAA